RNAcentral lists this ribosomal RNA (274 nucleotides) under uncultured bacterium. Its description in RNAcentral is "partial 16S ribosomal RNA". It matches the Rfam family "Bacterial small subunit ribosomal RNA", at positions 523 to 796 of the family's 1533-position model. The record is from RNAcentral.
AUACGGAGGGUGCAAGCGUUAUUCGGAAUCACUGGGCGUAAAGGACGCGUAGGCGGGUUGGCAAGUCAGAUGUGAAAUCCUACAGCUUAACUGUAGAACUGCAUUUGAAACUGCUAACCUAGAGUAUGGGAGGGGGAGAUGGAAUUAGUGGUGUAGGGGUAAAAUCCGUAGAUAUCACUAGGAAUACCGAAAGCGAAGGCGAUCUCCUGGAACAUAACUGACGCUAAGGCGUGAAAGCGUGGGGAGCAAACAGGAUUAGAAACCCCGGUAGUCC